Molecule: long non-coding RNA, 288 nt
Filed under: Nicotiana benthamiana
Lineage: Eukaryota; Viridiplantae; Streptophyta; Magnoliopsida; Solanales; Solanaceae
Description: long non-coding RNA (NBEN_LNC013964)
Source: RNAcentral
GCUAAUAUUGAAACCUAGCAACAAGUGUUUGUUCAGAAUAUUCACUAGAUGAAACUUGAGAGAAUAAAAAAACACUUGAAAUGCCACUAAAAACUUCUAUCAUUGAACUCUUCAACCAUCAAAUAGCCUUCAAUUAAUUCCAAUUCAAUCUUGGAAAAUUGUGAUCACAUUCCACCUUGAGAUUCAAGUCUAUUCCACUUGGAUUAUCGUAGUGACGCAGAUGAUGGCUUAAUAACAAGUACCUUUCAGGAUUUUCCUUCAAAUGGUCAUGCAUUUUGGAUAUCAUUG